GAACUACAGAAAAGGGAGUUACAGAACAAAAUCCAAAUCAACUACGAGUAUUCCUUGAAAUAGAAAAUCAAAUUUCUUUAUAGAAACAAACUGUCAAAUAUCCUGAGCUGAUUCCAGGUGGCAUAUCAUUUUACGAUCCAAAUAAGAAAUAGGAGUUUCAACAAUGCCGAAUCCGAUUCAAAAAUUGUUCCAAUUGAUCUAUAAGAUCUUUCGCUAUCUGUGGCUAGCAUCCGUACUGAUGAUACCGUAUAUGGCCCUGAAAUUGAAGACGUGCGAGGCCAGCAAACUGGACAGCUACGUAAUGCUUGGAUGCCUAGCACUGGGCGUCAUCCAGUUGAUAGAGACCCAACGCUUCCGACGACAUUAGGACGUGGGAGCUGGAGGCCGGCCAGAUUGUUGGCGAGACUGGUGCCCGCCAAUCCGAUCAGACAUAGCGUCAAGCUGCACACGAUCCGCUGCCACAUUUUUGCACUACUCGAACUACCAACUGGCCUCCGAUUAUGUCUAUAUCUAUGUGUAUAUGUUUAUAUGCGCCACGAUCUUUUGUUUAAUCGUCUGGCCAAUUAUGUAUUAAAAUAUGCAGUUGCAUGGACAAGCACA
Long non-coding RNA from Drosophila pseudoobscura, 600 nucleotides. RefSeq lists it as uncharacterized. The record is from RefSeq and is a predicted model, not a curated record. The transcript is spliced from 2 exons. Lineage: Eukaryota; Metazoa; Arthropoda; Insecta; Diptera; Drosophilidae.